GUCUCGCGGGAGGACACAUUGAACCCGGCUUUGCUGGAGGCAGCUCCACUGUCACGCUGCUGCCGAAGCGCCCUUUCCUCCUCUCUCAAGCCGACAGGCUUGCCUACAGCCCAGUCUCAUGAAGGCAUUUUCUCCACUGAGAAUCCCUCCUCUCGGACAACUUUAGCUGGUCUCAAGUUGACAUAAAACUAGCCACCACACCAGGUGGAGAACAUCACAGAAAUCCACAACUCGUCCAAAUGCAGAGAACAACUGACCAUGAGAAGGACAGUUUCAACGGAUACAUCUACCUCACAGCUCCUGCGCCUAAAGCUCAGGAAAUGUCUUGGCAGCGGAGAGUGGAAACAUUACAGGAGCCAGAGAACCAGGACUGCUGCUGUGAGACUGUGUUCCCUAGAAAUGACAGGAAGUUUCAACAAUAUGGAUGCCUACACAAAACCUGGACAUGUACAACCCCGACAAGGCACGCUGACAUGGAUAGGGGAAAUUUCACAGGGCCCCUGGCCAUAAACAAAGAGCACUGCAGUCAGCUAAGGCAUGCUGAGUGGGAGAGAAAUGAUCUCUCCAGGCAGAAGAUUGGCUAUCAAUCUGACUGGCUAUCAAUACCAACUGGUCAGUAAAGUCAUCUACACACAAGUAACACUAAAUGGACUGAGCAGGAUGUAUUUAUAUAUACAUACAUAUAUGUGUAUAUUUGUAACAGCGGUUAAAGAAAAUGAGGCCAUGAAUUUAUUGGGGGUUAGUAUGUAGGAAAGGUUGGAGGAAGAAAGGGAAAGGAGAAAAGAUACAAUUGUGUUUUAAUUUAAAAGAUCAUUUUAAAGCCGGGCAGUGGUGGCACAAGCCUUUAACUCUAGCACUC
Non-coding RNA from Peromyscus maniculatus bairdii (prairie deer mouse), 859 nucleotides. The record is from RefSeq and is a predicted model, not a curated record. NCBI's taxonomy places the organism in Eukaryota, Metazoa, Chordata, Mammalia, Rodentia, Cricetidae.